GGGACUGUAGCUCAGGUGGUUAGAGCGCACGCCUGAUAAGCGUGAGGUCGGAGGUUCAACUCCUCCCAGUCCCACCG
This 77-nucleotide transfer RNA is filed under the name Rubrivirga marina. RNAcentral's name for it is "tRNA-Ile". It matches the Rfam family "tRNA". From Rfam's summary of the family: Transfer RNA (tRNA) molecules are approximately 80 nucleotides in length. Their secondary structure includes four short double-helical elements and three loops (D, anti-codon, and T loops). Further hydrogen bonds mediate the characteristic L-shaped molecular structure. tRNAs have two regions of fundamental functional importance: the anti-codon, which is responsible for specific mRNA codon recognition, and the 3' end, to which the tRNAs corresponding amino acid is attached (by aminoacyl-tRNA synthetases). tRNAs cope with the degeneracy of the genetic code in two manners: having more than one tRNA (with a specific anti-codon) for a particular amino acid; and 'wobble' base-pairing, i.e. permitting non-standard base-pairing at the 3rd anti-codon position. The record is from RNAcentral. RNAcentral also lists the same sequence under 2 other names. Lineage: Bacteria; Pseudomonadati; Rhodothermota; Rhodothermia; Rhodothermales; Rubricoccaceae.